UACAGAGGUCCCAAGCGUUGUUCGGAUUCAUUGGGCGUAAAGGGUGUGUAGGUGGCGCCGUAAGUCGGGUGUGAAAUUUCGAGGCUUAACCUCGAAACUGCAUUCGAUACUGCGGUGCUUGAGGACUGGAGAGGAGACUGGAAUUUACGGUGUAGCAGUGAAAUGCGUAGAUAUCGGGAGGAACACCUGUGGCGAAAGCGGCGCACUGGACCAUAACUGACGCUGAGGCGCGAAAGCUAGGGGAGCAAACAGG
This 253-nucleotide ribosomal RNA is filed under the name uncultured bacterium. RNAcentral describes it as "partial 16S ribosomal RNA". It matches the Rfam family "Bacterial small subunit ribosomal RNA", at positions 524 to 776 of the family's 1533-position model. The record is from RNAcentral.